GAUAAAGCAUUGAUAAAGAAGAGUAAACAAAUUACGACAGUUAAGAGAGCUGAUGGUUGGUGUGAAUCAGUCUGUAGUUAUUGUUGAAUGGGCUUUGGAGCUUUCAGGCUGAACGAAUAGUAGGCCUUGACGAAACGCCUUAUCGUUACAAAAGGCAGCGUAUCGAAAUGAUCUUUAUUUCCGUACGUCGAUAAGUGCGUUUUUUAAUAAAAACGAACAAAGGUGGUACCACGGGUCUCCCGUCCUUUUU
RNAcentral lists this non-coding RNA (250 nucleotides) under Alkalihalobacillus alcalophilus. RNAcentral's name for it is "Bacillus alcalophilus T-box sequence". It matches the Rfam family "T-box leader". Rfam says of the family: Uncharged tRNA acts as the effector for transcription antitermination of genes in the T-box leader family. T-boxes are found upstream of many aminoacyl-tRNA synthetase genes and some amino acid biosynthetic genes usually in Gram-positive bacteria. Lineage: Bacteria; Bacillati; Bacillota; Bacilli; Caryophanales; Bacillaceae. The record is from RNAcentral.